This 1209-nucleotide long non-coding RNA is filed under the name Gallus gallus (chicken). Lineage: Eukaryota; Metazoa; Chordata; Aves; Galliformes; Phasianidae. The record is from RNAcentral.
CAAAAACUGGAGAGAAACUGCACCACUGUGAUGGCAAUGUAGGACAAAGCAGAAGCGCAGCAAAGAGAUAAGGAUAUAAUUACUGCAGACAACCUUGGAGAAAAAUGGCAUCUAAGAACAAUUGUAAGGACCUUUCUGUCCUUGAAUUGCUAACACUCUGCUAGUAAUGGAAGCCUGAGAAACCUUGAGACUACCAGCUUCUUGAAUCAGAGCUGCACUGAGUGACAUUUUCAACAUCGCUGAACAUGCCAGCAAAUCACAGAAUAACAGAAUCAUAGAAUGGCCUGGGUUGGAAGGGACCUCAAGGAUCACGAAUCUCCCACCCCCCUGCCAGGCAGGGCCACCAACCUCCCCAUUUACUAGACCAGGUUGCCCAGGGCCCCAUCCAACCUAGCCUUCAACACCUCCAGGAACGGGGCAUCCACAACCUCUCUGGGCAGCCUGUUCCAGCAUCUCACCACUCUCCUGGGUGCGAGUCCAUUGGUCCCCCUGCCCCAUUGUUCACAGAACCAGGCCAAACCAGACCAUCCAUAAAUUGUUGACACUGUCUGAAAUGAGAUUGCUCUUCUUUUAAGUCUAAGCCUGGGAAGAAGGAGUCCAAUUACAAUGAGUUGAUUCACCUCCAGAUACAAUGAGAAUGGACUAGUUUAUCAGAUAACACUGCAAUUACUGAACUGUAGUGGUCCUGAACAGUAUAUCAGCAACACAAUACUGGGUUUCAGAAUCCAGUACUAAUUACAGCUUUCUAUUCUGGAUUCAAAUAAGUAAUAAAUAAAAUAUUUCCUUGCCAUUUUUGAGAUAACUUUAUACAUGUGAUCUUAUAACAUUUUUUUACCUAUUUACUCAUGAGUAGGAUUUGGUUAAUAUGGAAUUUAUACUGUUUAACUGCUUUAAUAAGUGCACUAGGCCAACAGAUGUGAAGUAACUAACAAAUAAGAUUACAUGAUAAAAAAUGGAGUGCAUUCUUUUAAAUUUAGAUGAUUGCAGCAUAAUAGAAUGUGUUCUGUUGGAAAGGACCUUAAAGGUCAUGUAGUUCCAGUUCUCCUUCCAUGGGCAUAUUUGCCACCCAAUAGAUCAGAUUGCCUAAGGCCCCAUCCAACCAGGGGUGGAACAUUCACAGCUUCUCUGGUCAACCUGUUUCAGUGCCUCACUACCCUCUGAGUAAAGAACUUCCUCCUAAUAUCUAAACUAAAUCUCCUUUCUUAGUUU